AUAGAUUGAAUGUCAUCGACUCCCCCAAAUACUAUUUCUAGUAGCCUAUAUAGCAUUUAUACAUAUGACAGUAAUCGCGAAUGAAUGCCAUCAGCCGAGAUCUGCCUUUACUGUUGAGGUGCAGGUUGAACGCUUGCUGUAUGAAACUGAAAUUUGACGCUGAGUGACAGGUUACCCAACAGGUGGGGUACAAGGCGGUGAUGCUACUGGAUGCCAGAGAUACAAGAGUCCUGACGACUGCAUUAAUCCGAAAACAGUUGCAAACAUGCCCCUGCUGUACAUAUGUGAGCCAUGGUUGUAAAGAAGGUAACAUUCUCAUCCGUACCUUCAUUUAAAUUGGAGCAACAUACAUCAUGCCCACAAUUAGAAGCUAGUAUAAUAGAUAUUGUGGUUCCAAUUAAAAUAUCUGAUCAUGAAACAAGAAAGUGUUCAUUACGUUUGGUAUUUUACCGUGCAGUGGAUUGCUUCCAUUGGCCGAUGAACAACUAGUCCUAAGGAUGUGUGUGAUGCAGCUUACAUUGACCGAUGAAUGACUGGUCCUAGGGAUAUGUGUGAGGCAGCUUACAUUGACCGAUGAAUGACUGGUCCUAGGGAUGUGUGUGAUGCAGCUUACAUUGACCGAUGAAUGACUGGUCCUAGGGAUGUGUGUGAAGCAGCUUACAUUGGCCGAUGAACGACUGGUCCUAGGGAUAUGUGUGAUGCCGCUUACAUUGGCCGAUAAACGACUAGUCCUGGGGAUGUGUGUGAUGCAGCUUACAUUGGCCGAUGAAUGACUGGUCCUAGGGAUGUGUGUGAUGCAGCUUACAUUGGCCGAUGAAUGACUGGUCCUGGGGAUGUGUGUGAUGCAGCUUACAUUGGCCGAUGAAUGACUAGUGCUGGGGAUGAGUGAUUGACUUCCUACGAAUCUUUAAGCCACAUGUUUUAGCAACUGCAUCACAUGAUGUGGGUGACCAUAAUCAAUAUCAUUCUACAUUGAAGCACAAUCCCUUUAGAGGUCUACUGGCAUGUUCUGUAAUAAAUACUUGAUUUAUAAUGAGUCUGUGUCUUAGAUUUUCCAGAAGCAUGGAUAUAUCAUCUAACAAUCAGGAACACCCUCCGUUACUGAAGAGUCGGGGGUCGUAUAUAAGGUAUAUCAUACAAACGACUUUGACCUCUUCACAAAGUCCAGUCCCAGACUCUCAACAGCGCCAUGUCCUAGAGCGGGUGUUUAACUAUAGCCUUCAGCUGCUAGAGAAGAGACUCAGGGUCUCCUGCAACCGAGCAAACGUCCAUAGUUUGAAUGGGGAUCAGUUGAGCAUUCUGGAGAAGGAGUUACUCCGUUCUGAGGACAGAUUGAUGGAGCUCUUCAUGUCUGAAGCUAGUUGUGAAGAUGAACCCGAUUACGAAAACCCUACAGAUGAUGACAGUGAAGCUGGAGCUAAAGCAGAUCAUCACAUCUUCCCCCAUGUACUCUCCCAUCACCAUGAAGAACUAAUGUCAUGCCUUAACACAAGGGGAACUCAUUUGCUGGACAUCAUGGCUCAGAAUGACCUCCUGAGUGAAUCUGAUGAAGAGGAAAUUCGGAAACAUGAGUCCCAUGGAGAAAGGAAUCAACGUGUUCUUGAGGUCCUUUCUACUGUUUCACCAAAGAAAAACAUGCAAUUCGUGAAUGACUUCAUUAAGGACACUAACCCCGACCUUGGAAGGAGAUUGUCCCGAUCUAUGAGGGAACUGGCUCACCAAGAUCAUGAACAUCAAUGUGCAGCAUGCACUGUUGUUACACAAAUUGAUCCAAGUCGCAUUGCAAAGGUCAUGUUUAUAAAUAAGACUAUACCUUACAGCUUUUAUAAUGAUCUCAGGAAUCCGGCUGUCUCCAGUCAAACGAAAUGGAAAUGGAUCAGAGAAAAGGAGUUAGACAUUGCUGCAAUAAACGCUCUACAACCAAAGUUUCAACAUUUUCAUGACAUGUUUGGAGACCACAAACGCCUUAUCUGCAAAUGCGACAGUUUUACCGCUGAUCCCCCCGAAGGCGUGAUGACAAGAAGUUCUGGUGCAAGUACCUUCCGUAACUGGUUGUCCAAGAGCAAGGAAGGAGAGAGGAGUGAAAUCACCCAGAUGAAGCAUGACAUAUAUACAAUUUCCAGGAGUAUGUUUAUCAAUCCAUAUCAUGAAGCAUGGAUACUCAGCACAUAUAUGUACGAAUGCAACACUCAUCUCCAUAAACCUUAAAGAAAUGGUUCCCGUUUUUCUUUUGGCGCUCAUAUGGACUCGGUGUCCCGAGUAAUUGAAACACUUGCUAUAAACCGGCGUCCAUGUUUCAGAUUUGUACGUGGACACAACACAAGUUUAACACCACAAGUGUAGAGGAUAUAAGAAACCAAGUUUUCCUGUCCGAACCAGAUGGCCAUGAGCAGUACACAGGUGUUCCCCGCUUUGCGUCCUCGAUUGACGUCCAUCAUGACACAGAUAUGUACGGAAAGAGGGACCGGCGCGUCUGGAGACCAGCCUUUCCC
Molecule: unclassified non-coding RNA, 2492 nt
Filed under: Haliotis rubra (blacklip abalone)
Lineage: Eukaryota; Metazoa; Mollusca; Gastropoda; Lepetellida; Haliotidae
Description: uncharacterized LOC124258306, transcript variant X3
Source: RNAcentral